GGUAGGUAGCUCAGUGGUAGAGUGCUUGCCUUGCAUGCAUGAAGCCCUGGGUUUGAUUCCUCAGCACCA
Molecule: transfer RNA, 69 nt
Filed under: Dipodomys ordii (Ord's kangaroo rat)
Lineage: Eukaryota; Metazoa; Chordata; Mammalia; Rodentia; Heteromyidae
Rfam family: tRNA
About the family: Transfer RNA (tRNA) molecules are approximately 80 nucleotides in length. Their secondary structure includes four short double-helical elements and three loops (D, anti-codon, and T loops).
Source: Rfam by way of RNAcentral